AGAUGGCGACCGGCGCACGGGUGAGUAACACGUAUCCAACCUGCCGAUAACUCGGGGAUAGCCUUUCGAAAGAAAGAUUAAUACCCGAUGGCAUAAUUAGACCGCAUGGUCUUAUUAUUAAAGAAUUUCGGUUAUCGAUGGGGAUGCGUUCCAUUAGGCAGUUGGUGAGGUAACGGCUCACCAAACCUUCGAUGGAUAGGGGUUCUGAGAGGAAGGUCCCCCACAUUGGGACUGAGACACGGUCCAA
Molecule: ribosomal RNA, 247 nt
Filed under: uncultured bacterium
Lineage: Bacteria
Description: partial 16S ribosomal RNA
Rfam family: Bacterial small subunit ribosomal RNA
Source: RNAcentral